RNAcentral lists this ribosomal RNA (154 nucleotides) under uncultured fungus. RNAcentral describes it as "partial 5.8S ribosomal RNA". It matches the Rfam family "5.8S ribosomal RNA". From Rfam's summary of the family: 5.8S ribosomal RNA (5.8S rRNA) is a component of the large subunit of the eukaryotic ribosome. It is transcribed by RNA polymerase I as part of the 45S precursor that also contains 18S and 28S rRNA. Functionally, it is thought that 5.8S rRNA may be involved in ribosome translocation. The record is from RNAcentral. Lineage: Eukaryota; Fungi.
AACUUUCNACCACGGAUCUCUUGGCUCUCGCAUCGAUGAAGAACGCAGCGAAAUGCGAUAAGUAAUGUGAAUUGCAGAAUUCAGUGAAUCAUCGAAUCUUUGAACGCACCUUGCGCUCUUUGGUAUUCCGAAGAGCAUGCCUGUUUGAGUGUCA